This 254-nucleotide ribosomal RNA is filed under the name uncultured Clostridium sp. Its description in RNAcentral is "partial 16S ribosomal RNA". It matches the Rfam family "Bacterial small subunit ribosomal RNA", at positions 502 to 754 of the family's 1533-position model. Lineage: Bacteria; Bacillati; Bacillota; Clostridia; Eubacteriales; Clostridiaceae. The record is from RNAcentral.
AACAUGCCAGCAGCCGCGGUAAUACGUAGGUGGCAAGCGUUGUACGGAUUUACNUGGGCGUAAAGGGAGCGUAGGUGGAUAUUUAAGUGGGAUGUGAAAUACUCGGGCUUAACCUGGGUGCUGCAUUCCAAACUGGAUAUCUAGAGUGCAGGAGAGGAAAGUAGAAUUCCUAGUGUAGCGGUGAAAUGCGUAGAGAUUAGGAAGAAUACCAGUGGCGAAGGCGACUUUCUGGACUGUAACUGACACUGAGGCUC